AAGGCACUGAGUGCAGCGUUUCUGCACACGGCUCGCCCACGCCAUCUUGAACAGAGUGUUGGGGGCGAAGCUUUUGCCGUCGUCGCCACCGUUUUGCACCAUGCAUCCUGUUGGGAAGAGCUGGAGGGAGGCCUCUGUACCCGGUGCCCUGGGAACCAGUGAACUAGACUCAGCGCAGAGAAAACAAGGGCUGCCCUUGCUCUUUCACUAAACUGGAAGUAACGAUGGAGAAUGCUACUGUUGACCCCGGAGGUUGGCAAGGACAGCAAAAAGCUGGUGCAGCCACUACACCGUGUACAGAGGUCAAGAGGACAGCAGUACUGGCGAGACCACAGGCAGGACUGCUGGGGUUCCAACUUGUUCACAAGUCCCCACUGUCCCCAGGCGUCCAGCACCGUGGGGGCCAACCAGAGGCAGCAGACACACAAGAGUUUCAGUCUCCAAUCCCCAAUGAUUCCACAGUGUGACCUCCUCAGAGGGGCACAGUCCAGAUGACUAUGGGGGUUAUGCUGGGUGCACACCACACCUGGGUGUGAGGUUGCUGGGCAGAGUUGCUCUGAAUUCAGCCAGAGGCCACCACCAUUCUACCUGUCAGAGUGUACUCAGAGAUUAGAGUCAGUCAUCCUUGCAGGAGCCUCCCAAAGCCACUUAUGCCAAGCCUGGAGCCUAGGCAACAGGUGCAGGCAAAAAGGCCAUGACCUGUCCUAUGUGGGUCUCCAGAGUUUGUUAUUAACCCCUUUGCGUCAGUCCUCAGUAAGAGUCUUCCUGCCCUGUGUUGUUUGAGCCAAUAAAAUGAGACCAAGUUUGAUUCA
Odocoileus virginianus texanus is the source of this 812-nucleotide non-coding RNA. Lineage: Eukaryota; Metazoa; Chordata; Mammalia; Artiodactyla; Cervidae. The record is from RefSeq and is a predicted model, not a curated record.